Molecule: ribosomal RNA, 444 nt
Filed under: uncultured bacterium
Lineage: Bacteria
Description: bacterial SSU rRNA
Rfam family: Bacterial small subunit ribosomal RNA
Source: RNAcentral
GACGAACGCUGGCGGCGUGCCUAACACAUGCAAGUCGAACGGGAUCCACGCCAUGAAGUUUUCGGAUGGAUUGGUGUGGUGAGAGUGGCGAACGGGCGAGUAACGCGUGAGCAACCUACCUCGUACUGGGGGAUAACGUCGGGAAACCGGCGCUAAUACCGCAUAAGACUACGAUGCCGCAUGGCAAUGUAGUCAAAGCUCCGGCGGUACGAGACGGGCUCGCGUCCGAUUAGCUAGUUGGUAGGGUAAUGGCCUACCAAGGCGACGAUCGGUAGCCGGACUGAGAGGUCGGCCGGCCGCAUUGGGACUGAGACACGGCCCAGACUCCUACGGGAGGCAGCAGUGGGGAAUAUUGCGCAAUGGGGGAAACCCUGACGCAGCGACGCCGCGUGAAGAAGAAGGCCUUCGGGUUGUAAACUUCUUGAUCGGGGACGAAGGAAGACG